CGGGACGUGGCGCAGCUUGGUAGCGCACCUGGCUGGGGGCCAGGGGGCCGCAGGUUCAAAUCCUGUCGUCCCGA
Molecule: transfer RNA, 74 nt
Filed under: Actinomycetota bacterium
Lineage: Bacteria; Bacillati; Actinomycetota
Description: tRNA-Pro
Rfam family: tRNA
About the family: Transfer RNA (tRNA) molecules are approximately 80 nucleotides in length. Their secondary structure includes four short double-helical elements and three loops (D, anti-codon, and T loops). Further hydrogen bonds mediate the characteristic L-shaped molecular structure. tRNAs have two regions of fundamental functional importance: the anti-codon, which is responsible for specific mRNA codon recognition, and the 3' end, to which the tRNAs corresponding amino acid is attached (by aminoacyl-tRNA synthetases). tRNAs cope with the degeneracy of the genetic code in two manners: having more than one tRNA (with a specific anti-codon) for a particular amino acid; and 'wobble' base-pairing, i.e. permitting non-standard base-pairing at the 3rd anti-codon position.
Source: RNAcentral